RNAcentral lists this long non-coding RNA (2138 nucleotides) under Marmota monax (woodchuck). The record is from RNAcentral. Lineage: Eukaryota; Metazoa; Chordata; Mammalia; Rodentia; Sciuridae.
CCUUCCUCCUUUAUGCUCCUUCACCCCUAUAAUGAAGGCUGUGAUGCAAAACCUAGACUCCUCUCCAAAAAUGAUGGAUUUAUUCUCCAGCUGCUGAGAGUGCUUCUGGAAGAUGGCCUUCAACUGUCAACCUCCUAUCAGGAGUUGUCUGAACAGAAGAAAGCCAGCUCAUCCAAGGUCAUGUACCCUUUCUGAGGCUUCCUGUUUCCAUUGACUGCUCAGUGCAGGGAUAGAAGGGUUCAGUCCUCCUACUCCAAUAAAGGACAACUCUGAAAUGUGUUCACAGCCCCAGAGCUCCUCAUGGGGUUGACUGAGGCCUUUGUUGGUACUGAAUUAUUGCUCAGCUUCUCCCUUUGCCCAAUCCUAUUUUAAUUUUCUCUCUUGCACUCCAAGAGCACUCCUUAGUAAACAUCCUUUACAGGAAUCUCUGUUUUAGAGUUUGCUUCCUGGGGAACAUAACUACAUCACUCCUGUAUUAAAUCAAUCAUGAAGUGCUGCUGAUUUUAGCUACUGAGUGUUCUUUGAUUCUGCCUGCUUAUACAUCCAUAGACAUUACCUUGCACCACUCUCCUAGUUUCCUAAGUGGGCCACUGCAUUUUUCUGGUGCCUCUUUGCAUCCACCUUCUACCUUAUAGCUAUAGUGCUGUGUUCAGAAUGCCAAUUAAUUAUGCCGCUCUCUGGCCUUUCCUUUUGGGACAGAUAAAACCCUUUAACAGGAUCUGUGAAACCCUCAUGGCCUGACUCCUGCUUACUUCUCUAUCUUACUUCUUUCAGGGCACUGUAUUUUUUUUUUCUUUCCUCUGUAGACACACUGGUGUUCAUUUAGCACCCCCACACACUUUUAUUGCUAUCCAUCCCCCAGUUAUAUGCCUUUUGCAAUGCUCUCUGGAAACUUCUUUCUUCCUUCUUUUCUCAUCCAUGGGAUCUCAGUUUUCAAGCAGCAAUUCCUCAGGAAAAUGUUUUCCAUGGCUUCCUCUCCUGGGACAAAUAGAAUCACGGGAUGACCUGCAAAAUGAUUACCCUUGUAGAAUCUUCUCUUGAACGUGUGUGGACCUUUGAAUAUAAUGAGGUACUACUUCCAUGAUUAUGCUAUGUGCCAAAGGGAUUUUUCAGAUGUAAUUCAUUUUACUAAUCAGUUGACCUCAAGUUAGGAAAAUUGUCCAACUAGUCCUAACCACAUCACACUAAGUCCUCUUGAAGGACUUUCUCUCUGGCUGCUCACAGCAGCAGAAAUCAGAGAGAUUUGUAGAAUAAGGAUUCAUCACACUAUCAAUGGCUUGAAGAUAGAAAAGCUCACUUGGAGGAAUGCAGGAGGAAGUUGCUAACUGGAGGAUGGGAAGCAUGUGGGGUAAGUGCCUGAGAGUGGCUUCUCAUUGACAGUAGCCCCAAGCCGACAGCCAGCAAAGGAACAGACACUUCAGUCCUCCUCCAAAUCUCUAGAAGAAAAUUUAGUCUAGAUAAUACCUUGUGAUAUGCUGAACAGAGAACCCAGCUACACUGUAGACUUCUGGCCAACAAGUAUGUGAACUAAUGAGUAGGUAUUGUUUAAACCAUGAAAUUCAUGGUAACUUGCUACAGCAGCAAUAGAAAAAGGAUAUACCUUCCAUCUCAGGAAGCAGCAAGUGUAGACCCUUAUAAACCAAGCAAGAAAGAAAUGAAACAUUGGGAAUUUGUUGAGAUUUAGAAAGAAAGAUUUGGAAAGAUUGCAGUGGCAGUUAGUGUGGAGGGCAAUAGGAUUCUAUGAUAGUAAUUCUGGUGAGAAAUGAUGGUGGCUAGAACUAAAGUCAUAGAGGCUAUAAAGAAAUCUGAAGAUGACUUUUUAAAUUUAUUUUUGGUACUGGGGAUUCCUGAAUCCAGGGGCACUUUGCCACUUUUCCCAGUUCAUAUUGAGACAGGGUCUCAGUACAUUGCUGAGGUACUUGUAAUCCUCCUGCUUCAGUCUCUCAAGAUUGCAGGCACGUGCUACUACAUUCAGACUUGAAGAAGACCAUUUAACAAAGCUUGGAUAAAGACCAGCCUGCUGGAUAGGGAAAGACUAUCCAGACCAGGCUGGAUAGAGAGAGACUAUGACAGAGAAGGUAGGAAGAAAACAAAAGAAUGAAGCAUUGGGCUGGGGAUGUGGCUCAAGCGGUAGCGUG